GACGAACGCUGGCGGCGUGCUUAACACAUGCAAGUCGAACGGACAGGCCCUGCUUGCAGGGUACUCGAGUGGCGAACGGGUGAGUAACACGUGGGUGAUCUGCCCUGCACUUCGGGAUAAGCCUGGGAAACUGGGUCUAAUACCGGAUAGGAGCCAUUUUUAGUGUGAUGGUUGGAAAGUUUUUUCGGUGUUGGAUGAGCUGGCGGCCUAUCGGCUUGUUGGUGGGGUAAUGGCCUACCAAGGCGGCGACGGGUAGCCGGCCUGAGAGGGUGGACGGCCACAUUGGGACUGAGAUGCGGCCCAGACUCCUACGGGAGGCAGCAGGGGGGAAGAUUGCACAAGGGGCGCAAGCCUGAUGCAGCGACGCCGCGUGGGGGAUGACGGCCUUCGGGUUGGAAACUCAUUUCGCUAGGGACGAAGCUUUUUGUGACGGUACCUAGAGAAGAAGCACCGGCUAACUACGUG
Molecule: ribosomal RNA, 465 nt
Filed under: uncultured bacterium
Lineage: Bacteria
Description: partial 16S ribosomal RNA
Rfam family: Bacterial small subunit ribosomal RNA
Source: RNAcentral